This is a non-coding RNA of Hordeum vulgare subsp. vulgare (domesticated barley), 124 nucleotides long. The record is from Rfam. NCBI's taxonomy places the organism in Eukaryota, Viridiplantae, Streptophyta, Magnoliopsida, Poales, Poaceae.
CUAGUACUAUCUCAAUCCGGAAAUACUUGUCGGGGGAAUGGAUGUAUCUACAUAAAUUUUAGUUCUAGAUACAUUCAUUUUUAUCCAUUUUGAGACAAGUAAUUCCGGACGGAGGGAGUACUAU